GACAUCAGUAGCCGCGGUAAUACGAAGGGGGCUAGCGUUGCUCGGAAUCACUGGGCGUAAAGCGCACGUAGGCGGAUAUUUAAGUCAGGGGUGAAAUCCCAGAGCUCAACUCUGGAACUGCCUUUGAUACUGGGUAUCUUGAGUAUGGAAGAGGUGAGUGGAAUUCCGAGUGUAGAGGUGAAAUUCGUAGAUAUUCGGAGGAACACCAGUGGCGAAGGCGGCUCACUGGUCCAUUACUGACGCUGAGGUGCGAAAGCGUGGGGAGCAAACAGGAUUAGAUACCCCAGUAGUCCCUGUCUCUUAUAC
This 306-nucleotide ribosomal RNA is filed under the name uncultured bacterium. RNAcentral's name for it is "partial 16S ribosomal RNA". It matches the Rfam family "Bacterial small subunit ribosomal RNA", at positions 505 to 807 of the family's 1533-position model. The record is from RNAcentral.